Gorilla gorilla gorilla (western lowland gorilla) is the source of this 9786-nucleotide long non-coding RNA. RefSeq lists it as uncharacterized. The record is from RefSeq and is a predicted model, not a curated record. The transcript is spliced from 5 exons. NCBI's taxonomy places the organism in Eukaryota, Metazoa, Chordata, Mammalia, Primates, Hominidae.
UCAGGGUCUGCGGAGGUUGUGCCCAGCGCGUCAGGCGCCCUGCGGCCACCGCUCAGGGUGCCCGGGGACCCCGCCCCUUCCGCCCCGGCUGCCUGUGCCUCUCACGCCCCCGCCCUCGGGCCCUCGGUGGGCGGGACCCCUAAUCCGCCCGCUGCUCAGGGCCCUCCUCAGGGUGCCCAGCUCUCCACCAGCGGCUCCAUCGUCGGCUUGGGACGCAGAUGGCCUCAGAGGUCACCACCGGGGAGCGCAGGGAGGGGGCCGCUGAGUGUCCAGGUCCUUGGGGGCCGCUCAGGGCUCGGCUGCCCUUCAUUCCCCCGCUGGUGGGUCCCGGGCCGCGUCCCCCUCGGCUUCCACCCCACCCCAUGAGGGGCCCUUUCCAGUUGUCUUCCCCACAAGCGUUUUCCCAGGGCCUCCGAUGCACCUGCCCUCAGCCUCGGCCCUCCGCCUUCUCUGCCGCCCUCCCCCAGUGCUCACCCACCCAGUGCUCACCCGCUGCAUCAGAACCCUGCUCCGCAGGAUACGGCCCUGCCGUCCUGCGGACUCUGCGUCCCCAGCGCCCACAGCAGAAACCGAGGGUUGUUGGUGCCGCGGUGGUCGAUGUCAUGGCACAGGCCGGCUGUCACCAUGGCGAAUGCCUCCAGGUCCGUGUAGUAGCUCUUCAGUUUGCCGGUCUGUAGAGACAGGGCCACCUUGCUCACCAGUCCUGGCUCCAGCAGGGUGGGGAGUGGUAAGGGGUUGGGAUGACCGAGGCAUCGGGUUGGAGGUUGGACCUCCGACCACCGCAGGGCUGGGGUGCGCGGUGCACGGUGUCAGAGGGCAUUGCCCUCCUCCAUCCUUCUGCCCUGGGAGGACCCCCAUCUCAUCCCUCGGGGUGCUUGAGUGCUGCCCUUGGUACCAGGAGGGCCUGCACAACCCUGGUGAUUCUGGCAGCCACGUACCAUGAGCAGUGUGAACAUCGUCUGGGCCACGUUGAAGCCGUGGCGCCAGUUGUGGUAGGUGAUUCUCCGGUACCCUUUGCUGAUGGAGAACAGGAACCGCACCAGGACCUGGGGGAGCCGAGAGGACACAGGGCUCCGGCGGCAAGCGUGUAAGUCCCGCCAGAGCGGCACCUGUGGCUGACUUCACGGUGGAAGCCCUGCUCCGUGCCAUCAUCCCCACACCCUGUCUCCUGGAUUUCCCAAUCUUCCCCGUCCCUGGGUUUCCCACUGGCCUCUGCUGGCCUUCCUGGGUAGGGGCUGCCACAUUGGCACCUAUGGGGUGGAGCCAGGCAGGGCAGGAGCUGAGAACAGCCCCAGCCUUCAGGGGCCGCCCAGCCUCCAUCCGACUGCCUGGCCUCAAGCUGGGAGGAGGACCCCUGGGGAUGCAGCAUAUUUUAAGAUGUUGGUUUUAGGCAUGGACAUUUGAAUGAGCAGAAUGUGUGGGCUGCAGGCUGGGGUGGGAGAGCCGAUGUCCGCAGGGCAAGAGAAUGCUGGUCUCUCUUGCCCUGCGGACAUCGCCAGGAGGCUCUUCCUGCGGCCAUUGUGAUUUUUAGGGUCAGAAAAUUAUUUGGAAAUAUUUUUUAUUCUGCAAAUAUUUUCUAUACAUUUUUUCUUGAGUGUUUUCCCUUAGUAUUUAGUAAAACUUCUUUUGAAAAUGCUGGCCUGCUGCACCUGUUCUCAGAGGGGCAUGAGAAAAGAGGAUUCUCUUCCUUGGGCUGUGGGAAGCCCCUUGAGAUGUUGGAAGCAGGGCAGGGCAGGAGAACCCAGGGAGGGCACAGAGCUGUGGACGAGGGCUGGGAAAGCCAUCCCGCCUCCCCAGGGGGUCUCCGAGGAGUGCUGCUGUGGCCAAACCAGGGGGCCCACUUUGUGCUUUCUGUUUAGGUGAUGGGAUGCUUCUAUCUCCUCAGCACCCCACACGAAAUCCCCUGUUAUUGCCAGAUGAUGUGCCUAAUGAUCAAAUUGCUUGGAACUCCUAAUAAUAAAACUUUAAAUCUAUCCAUUCACCAUCCAUCUGCUGUCCACCCAUUCAUUGACCCAUCUAUUAAUUCAUUAAUUGACCCACCUACUCAUCUAUCACUCAUCCACCCACUUCUCCAUCCAUCCACCUAUCCAUUCACUUAUCCAACCAUCCAACUACCAUUGGCCCACCCACCCUUCCAUCCAUUUAUCCAACCAUCCAACUACCAUUGGCCCACCCACCCUUCCAUCCAUUUAUCCAACCAUCCAACUACCAUUGGCCCACCCACCCAUCCAUCCAUCCAUUUAUCCAACCAUCCAACUACCAUUGGCCCACCCACCCUUCCAUCCAUCCAUUUAUCCAACCAUCCAACUACCAUUGGCCCACCCACCCAUCCAUCCAUCCAUUUAUCCAACCAUCCAACUACCAUUGGCCCACCCACCCAUCCAUCCAUCCAUUUAUCCAACCAUCCAACUACCAUUGGCCCACCCACCCAUCCAUCCAUCCAUUUAUCCAACCAUCCAACUACCAUUGGCCCACCCACCCAUCCAUCCAUCCAUUUAUCCAACCAUCCAACUACCAUUGGCCCACCCACCCAUCCAUCCAUUUAUCCAACUAUCCAACUACCAUUGGCAUCCACCCACCCAUUCAUUUAUUCUUUGUUUCUUUCUGCUUGCCUGUUUGCCUUCCUUCCUUCCUAACCUCCCUCCUUCCUCCCUGCUUUUCACCCACCCAGCCAUCCAUCAAUCCAGCCAUCCACCCAGCCAUCCAAUUAUUUGUUUUAUGCUUACUUCCCGUGUGCAUUUUACCUGUUCUGUGAUGAACAUGUCGGCCCUCUAAACUUCCUGUGGGAUCUGGAACCCCCAAUCCCAUCCCCCUCACCUUCUGGGGCACCUGAGGCCCUGAUCACAUCCCCACCCCCAUGUCCUGGGCGGCCUCAGGGACCUGACUAUGUGCCCUGCGGUGUCUCCCACCUCCUGGGGGAUCUGGAACUUUCGGACCACGCCCAGCUCGUAGUACAUCUGGAUGCCACAUUUGACCAGGUCCAGUUCGGUGCACUCCAGGUCAGAGAAGUGGAAUUCGUAGAUGUCAAAUGUGGUGGGCCCUGGCAGCUCCUCCUUCUGUGGGAGGGAUUGUGGGCUGAGGGAGGUUGGCCUGCCACAGCCCCCACUUGCUUCUCAUCCUUUCUUCUCUCCAGAUCCCCUGCCAAGCCUCAGACACCUCAGGCAUCUCUGAGAUGUGUCAUUCCUGGCGCUCCAGCCUGUAUCCCAGGCUGCUCACACGCCCCCCUGGCUCAGCCUCACUCUCCCCUCUUGUACCCUGUGGCCCAACAGUGAAGAACUUGCCCAGUUGGGUGGACAGGGUGAUGUUGUUGAAACAAGAAAACACAAAGGUGUGCACAUGAAAAGAAACACACACACACACACACGGAUACAGACACACGUGACACAGGCACACCUGGAUACACGGCCACUCCCAUGAAUACAAAGGCACUGGUGUGGACACACAGGCACACACAUGAGCACCCAGGCACACCCACAGACAUGCAGGCACACACGUGCAGACUCACGCAUGUAGGCUCACACACACAGCCAUGAGGUAACACACACAACAGUGGACUUUCAGACCCACCAGGCACAUUCCCAUGCUCAGUCCAAGGCCUACUCACAAGGCUCGUGGCCCCGGGAGAUUCUGGCUAAAUUGCAUAGGCAGACACAGGGUGAUGGGGACACCACAUAAUCCCCAUAUUGAUCCAGCAAUGGUCUCUAGGAGACACACACAAGCAUGUGUCUAUAUAUAUCCAUGUGCACACACAUGCAUACACAAUACACACCCCCCUGUGCACACGUGAGCACACACACAUGGGUGCACACGGGCACACACAAACGCCCAUGUGCACACACAUGCACACAUACUCGUGUGCACACAUGUGCAUAUUCAUACAAUGCACACAUGCACAUACCCACGUGCACACACAUGCACACCCACGUGCACGCAUACACACCCACAUGUGCACACAUGUACACACCUGUGCACACAGACACCCAUGUGUGCACACACCCACGUGUGCACACACACCUACAUGCACACACGUACACACUUAUGCACACACAGACACCCACAUGUGCACACACCCACGUGUGCACAUACCUACAUGCACACACACGUACACACUUGUGCACACAGACACCCACAUGUGCACACACAUGCACACAGACACCCAUGUGCGCGCACACAUGCGGAUGCACACACACUGAGAGUUGCAGGCACCUAGGCACUCUGACAGCAGAGAUGACAUAGAUGGACACAGAGUCCAAGUCAGGCCCACUAAACAUCCGGUGAAGACUAAACAUCUGGCAAAGCACAGAGGAGACAGGAAGACACGAAGAUACACUCAGGAGUGCAGACAUCAAAGCCACAUUCUGGCCAUGCAAACACACUCAGGGACACACUGGCUGAGACUGAAAGCCAGGCUUAUGUAGACACACGUACACUGAGGUGCUUAGAUACGCAAGUAUACACACACAGCACCAACAUCCCCGAUGACCGUGUGUGCAAAGCACCCUCGGGUCCCGGAGAAUGCAGAACUCUUCCUCCCAGCCUCACACAUGGCCGGCCUCCAUGGGAGGGACGGGAGCAAGGUUCUUACCAGGAUUUCGCCCAGCUCGUCCUCAUCACAGUCAGCAGGCUCCUUCCCCAGGCGCACUCUGGUUGGCUACACAGAGACACAGAUGUGUCACGAGAAAGAGCUUCGCAUGUGGGACAAGGUGACGGCGGUGCGUCCACCCCGUGGGAGCUGGAGGAAGGUGCUGUCAAGAGCUCGUGCUUUCACCCUGGGAAGGCCCUGGCAGCCUCUGAUCUGGAGACAAAUGACCGUGUGCACGGCCUGCUGACUUUCCCACCUGUCCUCUCUCGGGCACUGCCUUACGCAGUCCUCAGGUAUAAUGAUGGGACUCUCUCAUGAUGACCAGGAGGACUCUGGCCAUGCAAGGCCCCUGGCUGGGGAGAUUGAGCACAGGGAAGGGAUGCCAGGGCCGUGCAGACAGAGGGACCUCGGGGGCAUGCCAGGGCUGUACUCAGCUCUGGCCCCAGGGCCGUGUCCCCACCACAGAGAGCUGCGACCCCUGGGUAACCUGGCCGCCCACUGCACAGAGGGAGCUGUGACCCCUGGGUGACCUGCCCCACACAGCUGUGACCCCUGGGUGACCUGCCCCCACCGCACAGCCGUGACCCCUGGACGACCUGCCCCGCACACCUGUGACCCCUGGGUGACCUGCCCCCGCCACACAGCCAUGACCCUUGGGUGACCUGCCCCGCACACCUGUGACCCCUGGGUGACCUGCCCCCGCCACACAGCCAUGACCCUUGGGUGACCUGCCCCGCACACCUGUGACCCCUGGACGACCUGCCCCCGCCGCACAGCCGUGACCCCUGGUGACCUGUCCCUGCCACAGAUCCAUGACCCCUGGGUGACCUGCCCCCGCCACACAGCCGUGACCCCUGGCGACUUGCCCCCACCACACAGCCAUGACCCCUGGUGACCUGUCCCCACCGCACAGCUGUGACCCCUGGCGACCUGCCCCCGCUGCACAGCCAUGACCUCUGGGUGACCCCUGGAUGGACCCCUGGAUGACCUGCCCCCACCACACAGCCAUGACCCCUGGGUGAGCCCUGGAUGACCUGCCUCUGCUGCACAGCCAUGACCCCUGGGUGACCCCUCAAUGGACCGCUGGACGACCUGCCCCUGCCACACAGCCAUGACCCCUGGGUGACCCCUGGACGACCUGCCCCUGCCGCACAGCCGUGACCCCUGGGUGACCCCUGGACGACCUGCCCCCACCACACAGCCGUGACCCCUGGACGACCUGCCCCCGCCACACAGCCGUGACCCCUGGGUGACCCCUGGACGACCUACCCCCACCGCACAGCCGUGACCCCUGGGUGACCCCUGGAUGCCCUGCCCCCGCCGCACAGCCGUGACCCCUGGGUGACCCCUGGAUGUCCUGCCCCUGCCGCACAGCCAUGACCCCUGGGUGACCCCUGGACGACCUGCCCCGCCGCACCAGGAUGAGCUGGAUCUCGUCCCUGUCGCACUUCACGUGGUAAAGGACCAUGUCCUGUGCGAUGUCCUUGCGGUUUUCCAGCUUGUUCAUCUUGUCGUAGGUGUCGGUGUUCAUCACUGACCAGCCCAGGAACUGUGUCAGGGACUGGAGGGGAUGGCAGUGUCACUGGCGCUCAGCGCUCCCGGCGCGCCCCCUCCCAUGUGCCUGUGUGCCAGGCCCCGUGGCUCAGUGGGCAGGUCCUGGGGCUGCCACCAUGGUGUCGCAGUGCUUCUGUGUGGGGUCUCCCGGGUGCUCUGCAGAGUCUCCUGCUCCCGGGGGGGGCCCUUUGUCAUCCUCUCCCUGGCCGCACGCACACAGCACACACACGAGCACACAUACAGCCGAAUGCUUGGCGGGGAGGCCCCCACACCGCACAGGCCCCACCCCUCGCAGGGCAUCCCCGGUGGAACCACGUCUGCCCAGGUGCUUACCUCCAUGAGAACCUCGUCCUGUUCGUCAAAGGGCUUCCCGUCUUUCCUGUUGUAAAAUGUGGCGACUCCCACAAUCUCCUCCUUCUUGUUGACGAUGGGCAUGGACAGCACAUUCUUGAUGAGCCACCCGGAGUCAUCCAGGGCCCCUUCCUGCGGGAGCGGUGUCCAGAGCUGAGCUCCGCCCUGAGGCUGGCCCUGGCCCGGGCGUGUGGCCGGGGAGAGUGACCUCACGUCUUCUCCCCUAGAGCCUGACGACUGGGCUCGUGUUCCUGUCUCUGCUCUCUGCAUUCCCUCUCUCUCUGCAUUUGGAGUUUGUGUCCAUGGUUUUUGUGUCAUGAUAUUUUCCCACUGGAGGAGGCACGGACAGAUACCUGAAAUUUGAACAUUUCGUCAGCGGAAGCAUUCAUGAUGUUACAAAUCUGAAAAAGCACCAGAAAAACGAUUUCAUCCAAAGCAGCGGAAGGUCUGUUAUGAUCUAAAAUGGCCUCUGUGGCCCUGAGGUGAGCUUUUAAGUAGGUAAAGCAGGGCAGCUGGGGGCUUCACUGAGGCACGUGGAGGCUGGCCGGGAGGGCGGGACGUGGGGCUUGCUGAGGCAGGUGGAGGCUGGCCGGGAGGGCGGGACGUGGGGCUUGCUGAGGCAGGUGGAGGCUGGCCAGGAGGGCGGGACGUGGCAGAGACAAGGAGAAGCACACGUCGCCACACCCAGUGAGGGCAAGGCUGUGGGGGCUCCAGACAGCACAGGACUCACAAAGCCGCUUUCUGCCACGUAGCUUGGAAGGCCGCUGGCCAGGGCCCAGUGAUCGGCUGGGGGUGUGCUGUGGGCAGAGAGCAGGGGUCAGAUAGGCCACGCCGGGCUGGAUGUGUGCGUGCAGGAGUCAGAUGGACUGGAUGUGUGUGUGCAGGGGUGAGAGGGGCCGGGCUGGACUGCACGUGUGUGUGCAGGGGUCAGAGGGGCUGGGCCGGGCUGGACUGCAUGUGUGUCUGCAGGGGUGAGGGGCCAGGCUGGGCUGGACGUGUAUGUGCAGGGGUGAGAGGGGCUGGUCUGGGCUGCACGUGUGUGUGCAGGGGUCAGAGGGGCCAGACUGCGCUGGAUGUAGGUGUACUGGGGUCAGAUGGACUGGGCGUGUGUGCAGGGGUCUGGGGGUCUCUGGCUCAUGUGCCAUCCUCAGCAUUUACUCUCUUCUCUGAGUGCCAGGGGGUUCAGGAGGUGAGGAGGCCAGGGUGUGGGUUGGAGGACGGCUGUGCUGCCUUCUUCCUCCUCCCCAGGCUGCCGUGCUGGGGCCCCUCCCUCUUGGGAACCCCUCCCUCUCCGGAGGCCGUAUGGCUUCAGCCUGCUUUCUAGGACUCAGCGUUGGUGCCUGCCCUGCCACCCUGACCCUGACUUGUGCUCAAGCCUGGCACCUGGAUCCCGGUUCCUGCUUGGGGCCUGGGGAUGGGGUCCCAAUAGGCUUAUGGGACCACAGGGCCACUGGGCCACCAGCUGCUCCUCCCUUGGCUGGAGUCCUGCCCUGACCUCCAGACUGGAGUUCCCCUCCUCUUCCAGCCCCACGGGGCCAAGACUCGGCCUCCUGGCUGGAGGCUCCACUGUCUGGGUGGGGCUGGUGGCGCCAGGGUCAAAUCCUGGGGCCUUCAUGCUCAAUUGUUGCUGACGAGGCCGCCUGGACAGCUUGCCUGGUCCCCUGGAUGUCCACUCUGGAUGUCCACAGUGACUCACUCUCCUCAGCGGCCCACGUCCUCCUCACCAUCUCCCAGAACAGAGGCCCACGGAGUACCGCUCGCAGUUGAGGUAGGCCCGCACCGUGUAGAAGGCCUUGUGGAACUGCCUCUCAAUGUCCGUCAGCUCCUCAAACACCUUGUUGGCCGACCACAGCAGCACCUGGAGGGAGGGGCACACCUGUGGGCCUUCGGCCACUCCCACCCUCACACCUGUCUGACUACAGCAGCAGGGGUUUAACUCAAGCCUGACACAGGUUUCAUCUGAGCUUGUGGGGCCCGGGAGCCGGCUGGCGGUGAGGCCUCGAGGCUGCGGUCGUGUCCCUGAUCACUCAGGAGUGGACGAGUGGAAAGUGGAAUCCGUCGCUUUGAGCUUGACAGGCAAACAUCCGACCAGCCCUUCCUCCGCCCGGCUGCUCCAGAACCACCUACGGCGAGCAGGGCUUUGAGAACAUCGGGCCGUGGUUUCCGGACGUCAGGCCCCCCGUGGCCUCCGCCAAGCGUCUGAGACUGAAGCAUUGCUGACGCACUCCACGAGGUCCUGGCCAGACCCCGCUCAGGACAUCCCACUGCACAGGCCCCUGGUUGUUGGGUCAGCGCUGCCGCCAGGCUCAGACUCACCCCAGGGCCCUCCUUGGGCCCCCUUUCUCUGCCUCCUGGCUCAGACUCACCCCAGGGCCCUCCUUGGGCCACCUUUCUCUGCCUCCUUGGUCAAGGCCCAGACCCAGGCCCCGCCAGGCCUCCUCACACUCACGGUGGCCGCUGGGUCUUCUACCGCAUGGUGCCAGCUCCCUCUCCUCCACUGCGGUGUCCUAGCCCAGCUCUCUCCCUGCCAGGCCCUCUGAAGUUCCACCCCCUGGCACUCAGCUCAUGGCGGGAACAGGACCAGGCUCUCCUGUUGCCAAGGGCAGUGAGAUGUUCGUAGCUUUAUUUCCCAGUACAUUGAUUUUACUGAUUUUAGUUUAUCUUCAGUUGAAUAAUUGUGUGUAUUGAUGGGGUUUAUGUUUUAUGGGGUUUGGUGUGAUGUUCUGAUGUACGUAUUUGUUGCAGAAAGAUUCAGUUAAGCUAAUCAACAUAUCCAUCACCUCACCAACUUGUUUUUUUGUGGUGAGAACAUUACAAAUCUAUUUUCUAGCAAUUUGGUAUACAAUACAGUCAUCCCUCGGCAUCCUCAGGGAAAUUGGUUCCAGGACGCCGCUCUGAUAACAAAAUCCGAGGAUGUUCAAGUCCCGGAUGUGAAAUGGCGUAGAGUUUGCACAGAGGUUGCACAUGCACCCCCAGGACUUCAAACCAUCUCCGAUGACUUAGCACCCAGUGCAAGGCAAGGCCAUGAAAACGGCUGUUCUACUGUAUUGUUUUACAUUCUUAUUUUUAAUUUAAAACUUUUCCCACAUCAUAAAUCCUCGGAAGCAGAACUGCACUUACCGAGCACCCUGUGUACUGUGGUUAACGGCAGUGGUGGCCGCCACACAGCGCGGCUGACCUUGAAGCCCACAGCUGCAGCUAACGAACGCUUUGCACCCUUUCACCAACGUCUCUGCUUUCUCUAUCUCUCUUCCUGCCCCGGCCUCCUGCAACCCCCUUUCCACUCUCUGUUUCCAUGA